Molecule: ribosomal RNA, 67 nt
Filed under: Asparagus officinalis (garden asparagus)
Lineage: Eukaryota; Viridiplantae; Streptophyta; Magnoliopsida; Asparagales; Asparagaceae
Description: partial small subunit ribosomal RNA
Source: RNAcentral
UGCUGUCUGCGGCAGCGUCAUUGCUCUGAGACCCUGAUGUCUGAGACAGAUCAUGCGAACUAGUAAA